GCUACAAGCCAGGCUAUCGUCCCGAUGAAAAUCGGGGAGGAAAGUCCGGACAGCACAGAGCAAAUGUACCGGUGAAGAGCCGGGUCCCGGUUGCAAAAUACCGGGAACAGAUAGUGCCACAGAAAAUAACUGUCCCGUCAAAAGCGGGAUGAGGGUGAAAACGUGGGGUAAGAGCCCACGGCGGUUGCUAGUAAUAGUAAUGGCGGGUAAACCUUGCAUGCUGAAAUGCCACAUAUAGUAUCGAUUGAGGGCGGCUCGUCCGAGAUCCGCCGAAAGGCGGACACGGUACAGGGUAGGCAGAUUGAUCCUGAUAGGUAACUACCGGGACAGAUAAAUGAUAGCCCACGACAGAAUCCGGCUUACCGGCUUGUAGCUUUU
RNAcentral lists this RNase P RNA (378 nucleotides) under Chitinophagaceae bacterium. RNAcentral's name for it is "RNase P RNA component class A". It matches the Rfam family "Bacterial RNase P class A". From Rfam's summary of the family: Ribonuclease P (RNase P) is a ubiquitous endoribonuclease, found in archaea, bacteria and eukarya as well as chloroplasts and mitochondria. Its best characterised activity is the generation of mature 5'-ends of tRNAs by cleaving the 5'-leader elements of precursor-tRNAs. Lineage: Bacteria; Pseudomonadati; Bacteroidota; Chitinophagia; Chitinophagales; Chitinophagaceae. The record is from RNAcentral.